Molecule: RNA transcript, 3246 nt
Organism: Pan troglodytes (chimpanzee)
Lineage: Eukaryota; Metazoa; Chordata; Mammalia; Primates; Hominidae
Gene: NDUFV2
Gene name: NADH:ubiquinone oxidoreductase core subunit V2
Exons: 8
Source: RefSeq, marked provisional
UAAGCUAACAAGUUAACCUGCCUCAGUUUCAUGGAUGCUGGCAGGAGGCAGCAUCCUGGGUCAGUAGGCAGCAUGAACUUCAUGUUAGUUCCCUUUGACAUUCAUAUCUCACGGUAAGGGAGGAGACCACCCCUCAUAUUGUCUUAUGCCCAAUUUCUAACUCCAAAAAAAGAAGAAGUAAAAACUAAAAGGCAGAAAUGAAAUCCACAAGCAGACAGCCCGGUGCCACACCCUGGGCCUGGUAAAGAUCAACCCCUGACCUAAUUGGUUAUCUAUAGAUUACAGACAUUGUAUAGAAAAGCACUGUGAAAAUCCCUGUCCUGUUCUGUUCCAUUCUACCCCCUGCUUGCUCAAUCGAUCACGACCCUCCCAAACAGACCCCCUUAGAGUUGUGAGCCCCUAAAAGGGACAGGAAUUGGUCACUUGGGGAGCUUGGUUGUUGGAGACAAGAGUCUUGCCAAAGCUCCCGGCUGAAUAAAGCCCUUCCUUCUCAGUGUCUGAGGGGUUUUGUCUGUGGCUUGUCCUGCUACAACGGGAGUGACAUGGAACAGCCCAGGUGAGUGCUGUGCAUCACUGCUAAGGGACCUUGAGCUUGGGAAACCCUGUCUGUAAGAAAACUCACUCAACUUUUGCCCCAGGAGAAGGUAUUUUGUACAAAAAUAAUAGAAAAGAUGGUCUGAAACAAAAGCUGUUCAGUGCUGCUGCUCACCAAAUGCACAAACCUAAGACCCAUGGAAAUCUUUCUACCAGCCUAUUUCUUCCUCCUUCCCCACUUUAACUAAAAGAGAAAUUUAUGAAUUAAUUUCAGUGGAGAAGUAGAUGGUUUUUUAACCAUCAAAUACAUUAUAAUUUUACUAGAAAAAGUAUAAGCCUUAUACAUAUGGAUAUAAAGAAAAAAUAAUUAUGUGCAAAUGCAAGAAUAUUGGCAGUAUGUUGUGUUUGACAGUAACUCUUUGAUAAAGUCAACUAACAGCACAAUUUUUAAAAAAUAGGUGUAGUUUUAAAAUGCAGUUGUUUGGAUCUUUUUUUUUUUUUUUUAGUUAUCAAAUGUUUUAUCCUUGUGUCAGUUAAGCAGGUGAUAAUGCUUUACAGGUUAUAUAGUACUUUCAGAGAAACUUUACUUACAUCUCAAAAUAGUCCAAUAAGAAGAUAACCCUGUUUUAUAGGUACAGAAAUUGAGGCUUAAAAAAAAAUUAAGUGAGUUGUACAAGGUGAGAUGUUAGUAAGUGGCAGAAUGGUAAUCUAAACCCAAGGCCUCAACAACUAUGAAAAAUCUGAAAGUCUGUCUUUUUCCUAGAGUUUAGCUAUUUUAUCCUGACCCUUCUCAAUCAGUAGUCUGUCUUCAACGAUUUGGACUUCAAACCACUUUUAGAAAUAUGUCUGUGAACUCAUGUGCGUAUCCAGAGCUUUACAAGUCAGCAAGAGAAUGCCUCAGAAUAGAUUUUCCAAUAUGUAGCAACAUAAGCCUAAAGAAUAAUUUUCAAGAUUAUCUCUAUAUUUUUAUUUUAAGUAAAAGUACAUGACAGAUCUUGGAUUAAUGAGAAAGGGAUCAAAUAUUAAUCCAAAAUGGAAGCUAUUUUAAUUUAGACAUUUGGUGGUAUUUAAUUUGAUAUACAAGGAGGUUAGAAGGAGAAAUAGGUUUUACAAUAGAGAUAAGUUUUUCUUAUACCUGAUGAGUGUUUUAUUUUAAGUAGGAUUUUUUUGGCCAGUUAAUCCAUGCUAAUAGGAAAUUUGGAAAAUAGAGAAAAAUAUAAAAAAUGUAAAAUAAGAGUCCCUUAUUUCAUUAACAUCGUAAUAAGAGAUAAGCACUUUUAAUUAUUUAUGGCCUUCUAGUCUUUUAAUCAGUGUCUGUAUUUAAUGUAAUUGGGAUGAUGAUUUAUGCAUUUUUGUUUUUUUUGUUUUGUUUAACCCUGAUUCCAGUUUCUACAUGAUUAUUUUUACGACAUAUUUUUGUUAGCUACAUAACGUUCUAGUGUCAGAAUUAUUAGUAUUUAGUUAAAACCUGCUCAGAUUGGGUUUUUAGGUUGUGUUUUUGCUGCAAUAAACAUAAUAGGAACAACAUGUUUUCAUGUAAAGCUUUAUCCUCAUUUUGUACUGCAGGAAAAAUACCUAGGUUAGAAUUACUAAAUUAAAAAAUGGACACUUGGGGCCGGGCGCAGUGGCUCACGCCUGUAAUUCCACCACUUUGGGGAGCUGAGGCGGGCAGAUCACUUGACAUCGGGAGUUCAAGACCAGCCUGACCAACAUGGAGAAACCCCGUCUCUACUAGAAAUACAAAAAAUUAUCCAGACGUAGUGGCACAUGCCUGUAAUCCCAGCUACUUGGGAGGCUGAGGUAGGAGAAUCGCUUGAACCCGGGAGGCAGAGGUUGUGGUGAGCCGAGAUCAUGCCAUUGAACUCCAGCCUGGGCAACAAGAGCGAAACUCCGUCUCCAAAAAAAAAAAAAGACACUUAUUUAGGCUUUCCAUAUAUCAUGGGAAGACAUGUAAGGAAUUUGCAUAAGACAGCUAAGCAAAAUGGAGCUGGAGGAGCUUUAUUUGUGCACAGAGAUACUCCUGAGAAUAACCCUGAUACUCCAUUUGAUUUCACACCAGAAAACUAUAAGAGGAUAGAGGCAAUUGUAAAAAACUAUCCAGAAGGCCAUAAAGCAGCAGCUGUUCUUCCAGUCCUGGAUUUAGCCCAAAGGCAGAAUGGGUGGUUGCCCAUCUCUGCUAUGAACAAGGUUGCAGAAGUUUUACAAGUACCUCCAAUGAGAGUAUAUGAAGUAGCAACUUUUUAUACAAUGUAUAAUCGAAAGCCAGUUGGAAAGUAUCACAUUCAGGUCUGCACUACUACACCCUGCAUGCUUCGAAACUCUGACAGCAUACUGGAGGCCAUUCAGAAAAAGCUUGGAAUAAAGGUUGGGGAGACUACACCUGACAAACUUUUCACUCUUAUAGAAGUGGAAUGUUUAGGGGCCUGUGUGAACGCACCAAUGGUUCAAAUAAAUGACAAUUACUAUGUGAGUAUUUCAGGAGGAUUUGACAGCUAAGGAUAUUGAAGAAAUUAUUGAUGAGCUCAAGGCUGGCAAAAUCCCAAAACCUGGGCCAAGGAGUGGACGCUUCUCUUGUGAGCCAGCUGGAGGUCUUACCUCUUUGACUGAACCACCCAAGGGACCUGGAUUUGGUGUACAAGCAGGCCUUUAAUUUAUAUUGAACUGUAAAUAUGUCACUAGAGAAAUAAAAUAUGGACUUCCAGUCUACGUAAA